This is a non-coding RNA of Cordylochernes scorpioides, 82 nucleotides long. NCBI's taxonomy places the organism in Eukaryota, Metazoa, Arthropoda, Arachnida, Pseudoscorpiones, Chernetidae. The record is from the annotation of a GenBank genome assembly.
AUAGAAGUGGCCUGGUGGACAUGGCAUCUGCCCGGUAAGCGGAACACUGUGGGUUCGAUUCCCAUAUUUGUACACUUUUAUU